GUCGCAGGUUCGAAUCCUGCACGACCCACCAAUUUCAGCAUUUAACUCAGAUGCUGAACGUGAAGGAUAACGUUGCGACAGCAACGGCCCGAAGGGCGAGGCGAAGCCGAGUGCAUCCUGCACGACCCACCA
Molecule: small RNA, 132 nt
Filed under: Klebsiella pneumoniae
Lineage: Bacteria; Pseudomonadati; Pseudomonadota; Gammaproteobacteria; Enterobacterales; Enterobacteriaceae
Also listed under: 1 other name
Description: partial RtT sRNA
Rfam family: RtT RNA
About the family: This family represents a bacterial cis-regulatory element known as RtT RNA. The exact function of RtT is unknown although it is thought that it may be involved in changing the cellular response in relation to amino acid starvation.
Source: RNAcentral